Long non-coding RNA from Astyanax mexicanus (Mexican tetra), 1029 nucleotides. RefSeq lists it as uncharacterized. Lineage: Eukaryota; Metazoa; Chordata; Actinopteri; Characiformes; Acestrorhamphidae. The record is from RefSeq and is a predicted model, not a curated record. The transcript has 3 exons.
AGUUCAACAUCUCAGUUCUCCAGACUCCAGCACUGCAGUCGGUUCCUCCAGGAGAAGCAGUGAAUCUUCAGUGUACGGUUCUCUCUGAGAUCAGAUCAGCAGAACUGAGAGUGUUCUGGAUCAGAUCUGCUGCAGGAUCAUCCUUUCCUGAAAUCAUCUUCACUCAUCACAACAGCAGCAGCAGCAGCAGCAGCAGCCGUCAGUGUGAGAUCAGCUCUUCUAAACACAGCAGUGUGUACAACUUCUCCCCCAACAUCCCCAACAACCACCAUGCUGCAACUUACUACUGCGCUGUGGAGACCUGUGGGAGGAUCAUCAUCGGGAAUGGAACAGCUGUGGCCACGGGUAAUAAAUCUCACCAGGAUCUCACAAUCGCAGAGGGAUUACAAUUCCAGGAACCUGGUGAUGAUGUAGAGCUGAAUUAUGCUGCUUUGAACUUCGCUGAGAAAAAAUCUAAAAGAAAAAGGAAGAAGAAAAGCGGACGUCCUCAGAAUAGUGUAUACUCUGAAGUGAGAUACACCAGUCAGACAUGAAUCCACACUCACUGUGUUUAGAAAUAAUGGAGCUGAUGUGAUUGGUUACUGAACCAGCAAAUCAUUAUCACAUUUAUUUAAUCAAUAAGCUGAAUCUUUUAAUUAAUACUAUAUUUUCAGGUAACAUUUUUCAAUAAUGGUCCAUCUAUAAACAGUACUUACAACAGAACGUCUCAAUUAACUAUUAAUUGACACUAUUAUUAAUCAUUACAACAUUUUGAACUAAUGCUUUAUUUUAUUAUUACUUAGAGUAUUUUUAAGAAUAAACAUUUAAUAAUGUAUCAACUAAAGUUAAAAUAAUAAUUACUUAAAAAAAUACUUAACCAUUUAACAAAGUUUUUUACUGUACUAAGUACUGUUAUUUGUAACACUUAUUGUAAGGUGUUAAAUAACCCCUAUUGAGAGAAAUUGGGUAUUUAUUCUUGUGCAUAAUUAGGUGCUUAAUUUAUUCUUAUAUUUCACCAUUUACUAAAACAUCUAACUAACGAUAGUUAAA